This 464-nucleotide ribosomal RNA is filed under the name uncultured bacterium. RNAcentral's name for it is "bacterial SSU rRNA". It matches the Rfam family "Bacterial small subunit ribosomal RNA", at positions 330 to 792 of the family's 1533-position model. The record is from RNAcentral.
GCCAGACUCCUACGGGAGGCAGCAGUGAGGAAUAUUGGUCAAUGGGCUUACGCCUGAACCAGCCAAGUCGCGUGAGGGACGACGGUCCUAUGGAUUGUAAACCUCUUUUGUCGGGGAACAAAGGCGCCCACGGGUGGGCGGAUGAGUGUACCCGAAGAAAAAGCAUCGGCUAACUCCGUGCCAGCAGCCGCGGUAAUACGGAGGAUGCGAGCGUUAUCCGGAUUUAUUGGGUUUAAAGGGUGCGUAGGCGGAGUGUCAAGUCAGCGGUAAAAUUUCGGGGCUCAACCCCGUCGUGCCGUUGAAACUGACACCCUUGAGUGAGUGAGAAGUAAGCGGAAUGCGUGGUGUAGCGGUGAAAUGCAUAGAUAUCACGCAGAACGCCGAUUGCGAAGGCAGCUUACCGGCGCUCAACUGACGCUGAGGCACGAAAGUGCGGGUAUCGAACAGGAUUAGAUACCCCCGUA